GGGCUGGCAUUCCCAGAGAUUAUUGCAACUGGCUGGGGUGGGUUCUGGCCGCUGGUGUUGUCUAAGAGCUUUGUUCUCUGGUGCUACAACAAGCCACUGAGUUGUUCUUUGUUCAGAGUGCUCCUAGAUGUCAAAGUUCUGCCAGUUCCCCAACACAGCUUCAAGGCACAGAAACACUCUCCACUGCGGCCAAGGAUUGCAGGAGAGGUGGCAUCAGUGAUUCAAGACUUCUUUUCCUACCUCUUCAGUGUUUCUUUCAGUGAUCUGAAGUUAAAGCCAGGGGGAAUAUCACAGAAGUGAAGUGCAAUUCUCAUCAUGUCAUAUCAAGAGCACACACUAACAAACAACAUGACUUAUUGCUGAAUAUUGAACUUGAUCACCUGGCUGAGGUAGUGUUUGCCAGAUUUCUCUGUAAAGGUGAAUAAACUGACACUGGAACAUUCAGGAACUUCUUCAUGGUCAUGGUCACCCAGCUAGAGUGUGGAAGCCAGGCUGUCUGAUUCCAGGAUCUGUGUUCUUAAUCCUAUACAUAAGGAAGCCAUAAUGAGUCAACCACUAUUUUUAAGAUUCACAGAUGUUCGGGUCCAAUUCACCAGAAUGCCAAGUUAUACAGGGUUGUGGAAUCAAAAACUGCAAUUAGUAAUAAAAUGUGAUGCUAUCUAGAA
This 665-nucleotide long non-coding RNA is filed under the name Homo sapiens (human). RNAcentral describes it as "novel transcript". Lineage: Eukaryota; Metazoa; Chordata; Mammalia; Primates; Hominidae. The record is from RNAcentral.